Molecule: microRNA precursor, 141 nt
Filed under: Podarcis lilfordi (Lilford's wall lizard)
Lineage: Eukaryota; Metazoa; Chordata; Lepidosauria; Squamata; Lacertidae
Source: RNAcentral
GGGGAGGAGAGAGGGACAGAGAACCUGCUUGCUUUAAAGGAGUCAACCGGACAGGAGCCGCUUACACUUGUGUAAGCGGCUCCUCUCCUCUCCCGCUUUGCUCCUUUAAAGAAGCAGGUUCUCUGUCCCUCUCUCCUCCCC